Molecule: ribosomal RNA, 579 nt
Filed under: uncultured bacterium
Lineage: Bacteria
Description: bacterial SSU rRNA
Rfam family: Bacterial small subunit ribosomal RNA
Source: RNAcentral
CGGGAGGCAGCAGUGGGGAAUUUUGGACAAUGGGGGAAACCCUGAUCCAGCCAUCCCGCGUGAGUGAAGAAGGCCUUCGGGUUGUAAAGCUCUUUCGAAAGUGAAGAAAACUUAUUUCGUAAUAUGUUAUAAGUAUGACGGUAACUUUAGAAGAAGCACCGGCUAACUACGUGCCAGCAGCCGCGGUAAUACGUAGGGUGCGAGCGUUAAUCGGAAUUACUGGGCGUAAAGCGUGCGCAGGCGGUUUUGUAAGUCAGAUGUGAAAUCCCCGAGCUUAACUUGGGAACUGCGUUUGAAACUACAAGACUAGAGUGUGUCAGAGGGGGGUAGAAUUCCACGUGUAGCAGUGAAAUGCGUAGAGAUGUGGAGGAAUACCAAUGGCGAAGGCAGCCCCCUGGGAUAACACUGACACUCAGAGACGAAAGCUAGGGUAGCAAAUGGGAUUAGAUACCCCAGUAGUCCUAGCCGUAAACAAUGGAUACUAGAUGUUGAACAGAUCGACCUGUGCAGUAUCAAAGCUAACGCGUUAAGUAUCCCGCCUGGGAAGUAUGCUCGCAAGAGUGAAACUCAAAGGAAUUG